This 343-nucleotide long non-coding RNA is filed under the name Mytilus galloprovincialis (Mediterranean mussel). Lineage: Eukaryota; Metazoa; Mollusca; Bivalvia; Mytilida; Mytilidae. The record is from RNAcentral.
AAGUAUUGAAAUCUUAGACCAUUACAUAAAAAAGGAAGAUUUGUAUGUUUUAGUGGAUAUUUAUAUCAGUAUCUGGUCUAGUUAUUGUGUUGACAGUCUAUGCAGCGAUCUUUUUUCAAGAAACAUUGAAAUCUUAGACCAUUAUAAGGAAGAUUUGUAUGUUUUAGUGGACAUUAAUAUCAGUAUCUGGUCUAGUUAUUGUGUUGACAGUCUAAUGCAGCAAUCUUUCUUCAAGAAACAUUGAAAUCUUAGACCAUUAUAAGGAAGAUUUGUAUGUUUUAGUGGACAUUAAGGAAGAUUUGUAUGUUUUAGGGGACAUUAAUAUCUGGUGGUUAUUGUGAAG